This 234-nucleotide long non-coding RNA is filed under the name Ananas comosus (pineapple). RNAcentral describes it as "long non-coding RNA (ACOM_LNC034738)". Lineage: Eukaryota; Viridiplantae; Streptophyta; Magnoliopsida; Poales; Bromeliaceae. The record is from RNAcentral.
CUAUCCUCCGUCAUCUGGAAUCGGGCGUUUCCUCUCCUGACUCUGUCCAAGCACUAUCACCCGCUCACGGACUGAUACAGCUCCUCACUCAACCCACAAUGCCUGCUCAAUCGACACAUCCAAGGUCCGCAAUCUCUGCGCCUGUACCAACACAAAAAUCUCUAGCCUCAUCCCUGGCUACAAACGGCACACAGUUCAGAAGCUUCGUAAACUCCUGAGUCUACUAUAAAUUAC